CUAUACAUGCAAGUCGAACGCUUCUUUCUUAUCGAACUUCGGUUCACCAAGAAAGAGGAGUGGCGGACGGGUGAGUAACACGUGGGUAACCUGCCCUUUAGCGGGGGAUAACACUUGGAAACAGGUGCUAAUACCGCAUAAUCUUUUUUCUCGCAUGAGUAAAAAGUGAAAGACGCUUUUGCGUCACUAAAGGAUGGACCCGCGCUGCAUUAGCUAGUUGGUGAGGUAACGGCUCACCAAGGCCACGAUGCAUAGCCGACCUGAGAGGGUGAUCGGCCACACUGGGACUGAGACACGGCCCAGACUCCUACGGGAGGCAGCAGUAGGGAAUCUUCGGCAAUGGACGAAAGUCUGACCGAGCAACGCCGCGUGAGUGAAGAAGGUUUUCGGAUCGUAAAACUCUGUUGUUAGAGAAGAAUAAGGAUGAGAGUAGAAAGUUCAUCCCUUGACGGUAUCUAACCAGAAAGCCACGGCUAACUACGUGCCAGCAGCCGCGGUAAUACGUAGGUGGCAAGCGUUGUCCGGAUUUAUUGGGCGUAAAGCGAGCGCAGGCGGUUUCUUAAGUCUGAUGUGAAAGCCCCCGGCUUAACCGGGGAGGGUCAUUGGAAACUGGGAGACUUGAGUGCAGAAGAGGAGAGUGGAAUUCCAUGUGUAGCGGUGAAAUGCGUAGAUAUAUGGAGGAACACCAGUGGCGAAGGCGACUCUCUGGUCUGUAACUGACGCUGAGGCUCGAAAAGCGUGGGGAGCGAACAGGAUUAGAUACCCUGGUAGUCCACGCCGUAAACGAUGAGUGCUAAGUGUUGGAGGGUUUUCCGCCCUUCAGUGCUGCAGCAAACGCAUUAAGCACUCCGCCUGGGGAGUACGGCCGCAAGGCUGAAACUCAAAGGAAAUGACGGGGGCCCGCACAAGCGGUGGAGCAUGUGGUUUAAUUCGAAGCAACGCGAAGAACCUUACCAGGUCUUGACAUCCUUUGACCACUCUAGAGAUAGAGCUUUCCCUUCGGGGACAAAGUGACAGGUGGUGCAUGGUUGUCGUCAGCUCGUGUCGUGAGAUGUUGGGUUAAGUCCCGCAACGAGCGCAACCCCUAUUGUUAGUUGCCAUCAUUUAGUUGGGACACUCUAGCGAGGACUGCCGGUGACAAACCGGAGGAAGGUGGGGAUGACGUCAAAUCAUCAUGCCCCUUAUGACCUGGGCUACACACGUGCUACAAUGGGAAGUACAACGAGUCGCAAAGUCGCGAGGCUAAGCUAAUCUCUUAAAACUUCUCUCAGUUCGGAUUGUAGGCUGCAACUCGCCUACAUGAAGCCGGAAUCGCUAGUAAUCGCGGAUCAGCACGCCGCGGUGAAUACGUUCCCGGGCCUUGUACACACCGCCCGUCACACCACGAAAGUUUGUAACACCCGAAGUCGAUGAGGUAACCUUUUGGAGCCAGUCGCCUAAGGUGGGAUAGAUGAUGGGGUGA
RNAcentral lists this ribosomal RNA (1462 nucleotides) under Enterococcus aquimarinus. Its description in RNAcentral is "bacterial SSU rRNA". It matches the Rfam family "Bacterial small subunit ribosomal RNA". Lineage: Bacteria; Bacillati; Bacillota; Bacilli; Lactobacillales; Enterococcaceae. The record is from RNAcentral.